This is a long non-coding RNA of Homo sapiens (human), 689 nucleotides long. Ensembl annotates it as long intergenic non-protein coding RNA 1905. NCBI's taxonomy places the organism in Eukaryota, Metazoa, Chordata, Mammalia, Primates, Hominidae. The record is from Ensembl.
GAUGAUAUCAAUCAAGUGAAGCAGCUAUCACAGGGUCUGGAACAUAGUACAUCCCAGCCUUCUUGCACAUAGAAACACUACACAGCACUUCAGCUGUAUGUUUGGGGGCCAUUUUAAACAGCAAAAUCAUCAACAGGAAGCAGAAAAUUGUAAAAAUUGUGGCACUAAAUAGACCAUGUAAAGGACACAUGUUUGCAAUAAGAAAGCUGAAACAAGAAGGGGGAGUGUCACCUUAUUUGAUCCAGCUAGAAACUCAGGUGCUGGUAUUCCAGCAACACUCAGGCGGCUGCUCCAGGAGGCUGCAGAGGGGUCCUUUUUAGCCGUCAACAAAACUGGCUAUGGUCACGCCCAUUGGGAAACUCAUUGCUGCCUUCAAGUUAGGUUCUGUCAAUAGAAGAUACUAAAGAAAGAAAGCCAGGAGAAGAAAAGGGACUUCUUUCUUCAAGGUCUAAGCUGUUCUAAUAGCAUUAUUCUGGGAAUGGCAUCUUCCACUCCUCCUAGUACAAAGAACCUGCUUCCUCAUACCCCGUCAAGGAACUGCAGCAUCCAGGUACUUUCUCUGCCUCAAAGGUCUGCAUCCCAUUCUCCAUUUGGCCCCUCCUUUGAACUACCAGAUCUCCGGCUGGAUUGCCUUUUUGUUCUGGAAUUUUCUAAAUUUCUUUAUUAAAUUUCCCAGUUGAAAUUCCCAA